CGCUGGCGGCGUGCCUAAUACAUGCAAGUCGACGGUCUUUCUAUGGAAGCUGCUUCACUGAGAAGAUAGUGGCGAACGGGUGAGUAACACGUGGGUAACCUGCCCAUAAGAGGGGGGUAACAUCCGGAAACGGGUGCUAAUACCGCAUAGUUUUCUUGAUCGCAUGAUCGGGAAAGGAAAGACGGCCUUUGUGCUGUCGCUUAUGGAUGGACCCGCGGCGUAUUAGUUAGUUGGUGAGGUAAUGGCUCACCAAGACGAUGAUACGUAGCCGACCUGAGAGGGUGAUCGGCCACAUUGGGACUGAGACACGGCCCAAACUCCUACGGGAGGCAGCAGUAGGGAAUCUUCCGCAAUGGACGAAAGUCUGACGGAGCAACGCCGCGUGAGUGAAGAAAAGGUUUUCGGAUCGUAAAACUCUGUUGUCAGAGAAGAACAAGUUGGAGAGUAACUGCUCCAGCCUUUGACGGUAUCUGACCAGAAAGCCACGGCUAACUACGUGCCAGCCGCCGC
This 510-nucleotide ribosomal RNA is filed under the name uncultured bacterium. RNAcentral describes it as "bacterial SSU rRNA". It matches the Rfam family "Bacterial small subunit ribosomal RNA", at positions 34 to 518 of the family's 1533-position model. The record is from RNAcentral.